Molecule: transfer RNA, 71 nt
Filed under: Rasbora paucisqualis
Lineage: Eukaryota; Metazoa; Chordata; Actinopteri; Cypriniformes; Danionidae
Description: tRNA-Gly
Rfam family: tRNA
About the family: Transfer RNA (tRNA) molecules are approximately 80 nucleotides in length. Their secondary structure includes four short double-helical elements and three loops (D, anti-codon, and T loops).
Source: RNAcentral
AUCUUUUUAGUAUAAACCCAGUACAAGUGACUUCCAAUCACUUAAUCUUGGUUCAAUCCCAAGAAAAGAUA